GUGAUGCGCGUGCUAUACAUGCAAGUCGAGCGAAUGGAUUAAGAGCUUGCUCUUAUGAAGUUAGCGGCGGACGGGUGAGUAACACGUGGGUAACCUGCCCAUAAGACUGGGAUAACUCCGGGAAACCGGGGCUAAUACCGGAUAACAUUUUGAACCGCAUGGUUCGAAAAUUGAAAGGCGGCUUCGGCUGUCACUUAUGGAUGGACCCGCGUCGCAUUAGCUAGUUGGUGAGGUAACGGCUCACCAAGGCAACGAUGCGUAGCCGACCUGAGAGGGUGAUCGGCCACACUGGGACUGAGACACGGCCCAGACUCCUACGGGAGGCAGCAGUAGGGAAUCUUCCGCAAUGGACGAAAGUCUGACGGAGCAACGCCGCGUGAGUGAUGAAGGCUUUCGGGUCGUAAAACUCUGUUGUUAGGGAAGAACAAGUGCUAGUUGAAUAAGCUGGCACCUUGACGGUACCUAACCAGAAAGCCACGGCUAACACCAUGCCAGAAAAACCAAAGGUA
Molecule: ribosomal RNA, 509 nt
Filed under: Bacillus sp. BS19
Lineage: Bacteria; Bacillati; Bacillota; Bacilli; Caryophanales; Bacillaceae
Description: bacterial SSU rRNA
Rfam family: Bacterial small subunit ribosomal RNA
Source: RNAcentral